This is a long non-coding RNA of Ixodes scapularis (black-legged tick), 701 nucleotides long. RefSeq lists it as uncharacterized. The record is from RefSeq and is a predicted model, not a curated record. NCBI's taxonomy places the organism in Eukaryota, Metazoa, Arthropoda, Arachnida, Ixodida, Ixodidae. The transcript has 3 exons.
GCGGAGGGAUCCGCACACGUUGUGUCUCCAAUUUCGAAAUGCACCGAAACGUGGGCGUACUACGUUAACUGUCCCUGUAAUCAGUUCUUGUCAGCCCUCCCGUCUGGGCAAACCGCCGACCUUGUCAGCAUUCGCGGUCCGGCGAUACGCCGCCGCUGACGCCGCCGCCUCUGCUGCGUUUGCUUAUCACCGGGAAGGGCCCGAACGCCGAGCAACGCCUGGGCGCCACGAACGAACGCGAGAGCGUAGAUUGAACCGAAUAAAUUCCCAGGAUUUGUUAUCGCAAAGUGUGGAUCGGGGGUUAUCUCGCACGAGCGACGGUCACAAUGCUAUAAAAAUAAGUCAGCCUGCAGCAGACACUGUCUGAGCCGCUGAUCUUCCCUGUUUGGCGGUUCCGUCACACUGGUCGUGCAAGAACCGUCCGCAGACAUGUUGGACGAAUACGUGCAUCUAUGAAGCAGACGUGUUUCUUCGAGCAGGAUUGAGCCGAGUUCGUCCCGAGCCAGCUUGGAGCUGGCCACCAUCUUGGCCACGUCCCCGGGCCGUCGUUCCAGGACGUCGUACGGUACGCGGACCCCGGACGCUUCCUGGAAGGCGGCGAUGACCUCGAGCACGGAGGCGCCGCCGGUGCCGCCGUUCAUGUUGUUCCGUCCGGCGUGUCGUAGUCAUUCCCGUGGAUGUGCAGCCUUUCCCGCCUCCCG